GCCCAGACUCCUACGGGAGGCAGCAGUGGGGAAUAUUGCACAAUGGGCGCAAGCCUGAUGCAGCCAUGCCGCGUGUAUGAAGAAGGCCUUAGGGUUGUAAAGUACUUUCAGCGGGGAGGAAGGUGAUAAGGUUAAUACCCUUAUCAAUUGACGUUACCCGCAGAAGAAGCACCGGCUAACUCCGUGCCAGCAGCCGCGGUAAUACGGAGGGUGCAAGCGUUAAUCGGAAUUACUGGGCGUAAAGCGCACGCAGGCGGUCAAUUAAGUCAGAUGUGAAAGCCCCGAGCUUAACUUGGGAAUUGCAUCUGAAACUGGUUGGCUAGAGUCUUGUAGAGGGGGGUAGAAUUCCACGUGUAGCGGUGAAAUGCGUAGAGAUGUGG
Molecule: ribosomal RNA, 380 nt
Filed under: Bacillus velezensis
Lineage: Bacteria; Bacillati; Bacillota; Bacilli; Caryophanales; Bacillaceae
Description: bacterial SSU rRNA
Rfam family: Bacterial small subunit ribosomal RNA
Source: RNAcentral